CCUACGGGUGGCUGCAGUCGAGAAUCAUUCACAAUGGGGGAAACCCUGAUGGUGCGACGCCGCGUGGGGGAAUGAAGGUCUUCGGAUUGUAAACCCCUGUCAUGUGGGAGCAAAUUAAAAAGAUAGUACCACAAGAGGAAGAGACGGCUAACUCUGUGCCAGCAGCCGCGGUAAUACAGAGGUCUCAAGCGUUGUUCGGAAUCACUGGGCGUAAAGCGUGCGUAGGCUGUUUCGUAAGUCGUGUGUGAAAGGCGCGGGCUCAACCCGCGGACGGCACAUGAUACUGCGGGACUAGAGUAAGGGAGGGGGAACCGGAAUGCUCGGUGUAGCAGUGAAAUGCGUAGAGAUCGAGAGGAACACUCGUGGCGAAGGCGGGUUCCUGGACAUUAACUGACGCUGAGGCACGAAGGCCAGGGGAGCGAAAGGGAUUAGAUACCCCGGUAGUC
Molecule: ribosomal RNA, 446 nt
Filed under: uncultured bacterium
Lineage: Bacteria
Description: partial 16S ribosomal RNA
Rfam family: Bacterial small subunit ribosomal RNA
Source: RNAcentral